RNAcentral lists this ribosomal RNA (490 nucleotides) under uncultured bacterium. RNAcentral's name for it is "partial 16S ribosomal RNA". It matches the Rfam family "Bacterial small subunit ribosomal RNA", at positions 30 to 507 of the family's 1533-position model. The record is from RNAcentral.
AUUGAACGCUGGCGGCAGGCCUAACACAUGCAAGUCGAACGGUAACAGGAAGAAGCUUGCUUCUUUGCUGACGAGUGGCGGACGGGUGAGUAAUGUCUGGGAAACUGCCUGAUGGAGGGGGAUAACUACUGGAAACGGUAGCUAAUACCGCACAACGUCGCAAGACCAAAAAGGGGGACCUUCGGGCCUCUUGCCAUCGGAUGUGCCCAGAUGGGAUUAGCUAGUAGGUGGGGUAACGGCUCACCUAGGCGACGAUCCCUAGCUGGUCUGAGAGGAUGACCAGCCACACUGGAACUGAGACACGGUCCAGACUCCUACGGGAGGCAGCAGUGGGGAAUAUUGCACAAUGGGCGCAAGCCUGAUGCAGCCAUGCCGCGUGUAUGAAGAAGGCCUUCGGGUUGUAAAGUACUUUCAGCGGGGAGGAAGGGAGUAAAGUUAAUACCUUUGCUCAUUGACGUUACCCGCAGAAGAAGCACCGGCUAACUCCGUG